This 280-nucleotide ribosomal RNA is filed under the name uncultured bacterium. RNAcentral's name for it is "partial 16S ribosomal RNA". It matches the Rfam family "Bacterial small subunit ribosomal RNA", at positions 337 to 609 of the family's 1533-position model. The record is from RNAcentral.
ACCUACGGGAGGCAGCAGUGGGGCCUUUUGGGCCCUUGUCUCCCGCCUGCUCCAGCUAUUCCGCGUGUGGGAUGACGGCCCUCGGGUUGUAAACCACUUUAGUAGAGAACGAAAAGGAGCGAUCGAAUAAAUAGCUCUGCUGACGGUACUCUAAGAAUAAGCACCGGCUAACUACGUGCCAGCAGCCGCGGUAAUACGUAGGGUGCGAGCGUUAAUCGGAAUUACUGGGCGUAAAGGGUGUGCAGGCGGCUGAGUAAGACAGAUGUGAAAUCACCGGGCU